RNAcentral lists this ribosomal RNA (497 nucleotides) under uncultured bacterium. RNAcentral describes it as "partial 16S ribosomal RNA". It matches the Rfam family "Bacterial small subunit ribosomal RNA", at positions 28 to 507 of the family's 1533-position model. The record is from RNAcentral.
GAUGAACGCUGGCGGCGUGCCUAAUACAUGCCAGUCGAGCGAACGGACGAGAAGCUUGCUUCUCUGAUGUUAGCGGCGGACGGGUGAGUAACACGUGGAUAACCUACCUAUAAGACUGGGAUAACUUCGGGAAACCGGAGCUAAUACCGGAUAAUAUUUUGAACCGCAUGGUUCAAAAGUGAAAGACGGUCUUGCUGUCACUUAUAGAUGGAUCCGCGCUGCAUUAGCUAGUUGGUAAGGUAACGGCUUACCAAGGCAACGAUGCGUAGCCGACCUGAGAGGGUGAUCGGCCACACUGGAACUGAGACACGGUCCAGACUCCUACGGGAGGCAGCGGUAGGGAAUCUUCCGCAAUGGGCGAAAGCCUGACGGAGCAACGCCGCGUGAGUGAUGAAGGUCUUCGGAUCGUAAAACUCUGUUAUUAGGGAAGAACAUAUGUGUAAGUAACUGUGCACAUCUUGACGGUACCUAAUCAGAAAGCCACGGCUAACUACGUG